GUUCACACAUUAACAUUAUCACAAUGAAAUACUUUGCAAUCUUUUUAGUCCUCUCUUUGGUUGCCAUCGCUUAUGGCAUGGAUGUAGAUUCCGCUAAAAAUAUUCCAAGUGUUUCCCCAAUAGGGCAUAAAUGUCUGUUUACGUGGGAAUGCUACGACGUUUGCAGAACCAAGUGCCAGAGUCCCAGAAAUGCUCUUUGCUUUAGACACUUUUGCUAUUGUGGUUACUAAUAAUAUUACUCAAAUGUUAAUGUGAAUAAACAUUUCUUUAGA
Molecule: long non-coding RNA, 272 nt
Organism: Colias croceus (clouded yellow)
Lineage: Eukaryota; Metazoa; Arthropoda; Insecta; Lepidoptera; Pieridae
Exons: 2
Source: RefSeq, a predicted model, not a curated record